Olea europaea var. sylvestris is the source of this 977-nucleotide long non-coding RNA. RefSeq lists it as uncharacterized. The transcript is spliced from 2 exons. The record is from RefSeq and is a predicted model, not a curated record. Lineage: Eukaryota; Viridiplantae; Streptophyta; Magnoliopsida; Lamiales; Oleaceae.
UCGGAGAAAAUUAGUUUUGGAAUAUAGAACCUAUAGAAUUUAACUCUAGUGGUUGUUAAAUAAUCUGCCCACCACCAUAAUUAAAGAUCACUUAACCAAAAUUGACGACUGGACCACCUAAUUAAUCGUGGUUUGAGUUGACUAGAAAUGCAGGACAACUAUUUGGCUGAAAAGAUUGCCACUUGAUGUUAAUAUAAGUCACCCUGGAGAGCUUGGCUGAGUUCCUCAACAGUUACUCAAAUCACAGACUGAGUUAUGGAGCAUGUGUCGCCUUAGUUAUCAAUUUGAUGGAUCAGGAUACUGAGUUCAAUACGAGGAUCUAUAAAAAGAAGUAUACUGAAGAUUUCUUUCUUUCUUUGCUUCAUGCUCUGUUAACGACUUAGUAGCUUGUUGAAUGCUACUUAUAAUUUUUUUUCUCAAGAAAAUAAUAAUAUUCUGAAGUGGCAGUGCAUAUUUUUAAGUUUAUGCACAGAUAUCUGAACUAGGUAAAGAUUGUUAGCGCAUAGAUUACAAGGAAUUGUCAGUUUAGCACAAAUUUAUUGAUUCUUGACCGUGCUUCUAAUUUUUCUACAUUUUCUUCUCAAAUUAGCUUUGUUAUUUAUUACUUUACUAUUGCAGGGAGAGUUCGACUUGUGAAGGCGGGAGAAAAUAUGAGUAAGAUUUCCAUUGAUGAGCUUAGGGAGGGAUUAUUGUAAUGGAACUCCAAUACGGUGAUAUACUCGCACGUUUGGUAAGGUGAAUUAUAUGAUGGUGAAGAGGAGGUAAAAGAAGCUGAAAUCUUGGUCAUUUUACCGUUCAGGAUGGUCUAAUAGUGCAUACACAACAAGGAUAACAAUCUACAGAGGUAGCUGAAGAGCCAUACUUUUGCUUGGUGUAUUUGAGUAUCAAUAUGGAUUUCUGCACUUAAUAUUUUUUUUAUCGAUAAAUGUAAAAUCUAUUGACCAAUACUCAUUUAUAAGUACACUGCCAUAUCCGGA